CAACACAUUUCCACUAUGACUUUAGCUACAUGUUUAAUGUUUCUGAUGCUUCCAUGGAUUUCUGGUGUUUGCAGUCAGACUCUGACUGAGUCUGAAGCGGUGGUAAAGCGCCCUGGACAGUCCCACAAACUGACCUGUACAUAUGCAGGAAUAUCAGAUAGUGAUGCUGCUAUCAGCUGGAUCAGACAAGCUGAAGGAAAAGGACUGGAGUGGAUUGCCUACAUUUCUGCUCCAAGUGGAACUAAUAAAUAUUAUUCCACGUCAGUCCAGAAUCGCUUCACCAUCUCCAGAGACAACAACGUGGACCAGGUGUAUCUGCAGAUGAACAGCCUGACGUCUGAAGACUCUGCUGUUUAUUAUUGUGCUCGACAGACACAGUGAUACAGGAAGCCACACAGCUGUACAAAAACCUCUGCAGUUGUCAGUGGCAUUAACCAAUAGAGAGUGCAAGUCAUUUUCCACCUUAAAUCAGGAUAUCUUAUAUACACAAGAUGUGAAUACUUCCCCACGCAAUGCUUUUGUCACA
This is a non-coding RNA of Trematomus bernacchii (emerald rockcod), 526 nucleotides long. NCBI's taxonomy places the organism in Eukaryota, Metazoa, Chordata, Actinopteri, Perciformes, Nototheniidae. The record is from the annotation of a RefSeq genome assembly.